AACGAACGCUGGCGGCAUGCCUAACACAUGCAAGUCGAACGAGACCUUCGGGUCUAGUGGCGCACGGGUUCGUAACGCGUGGGAACCUGCCCUUAGGUUCGGAAUAACUCCCCGAAAGGGGUGCUAAUACCGGAUAAUGUCUUCGGACCAAAGAUUUAUCGCCUUUGGAUGGGCCCGCGUUGGAUUAGCUUGUUGGUAGGGUAAAAGCCUACCAAGGCGACGAUCCAUAGCUGGUCUGAGAGGAUGAUCAGCCACACUGGGACUGAGACACGGCCCAGACUCCUACGGGAGGCAGCAGUGGGGAAUAUUGGAAAAUGGGCGAAAGCCUGAUCCAGCAAUGCCGCGUGAGUGAUGAAGGCAUUAGGGUUGUAAAGCUCUUUUACCCGGGAUGAUAAUGACAGUACCGGGAGAAUAAGCUCCGGCUAACUCCGUG
This 433-nucleotide ribosomal RNA is filed under the name uncultured bacterium. RNAcentral's name for it is "partial 16S ribosomal RNA". It matches the Rfam family "Bacterial small subunit ribosomal RNA", at positions 29 to 507 of the family's 1533-position model. The record is from RNAcentral.